This 497-nucleotide ribosomal RNA is filed under the name uncultured bacterium. RNAcentral describes it as "partial 16S ribosomal RNA". It matches the Rfam family "Bacterial small subunit ribosomal RNA", at positions 28 to 507 of the family's 1533-position model. The record is from RNAcentral.
GAUGAACGCUGGCGGCGUGCCUAAUACAUGCAAGUCGAGCGAACGGACGAGAAGCUUGCUUCUCUGAUGUUAGCGGCGGACGGGUGAGUAACACGUGGAUAACCUACCUAUAAGACUGGGAUAACUUCGGGAAACCGGAGCUAAUACCGGAUAAUAUUUUGAACCGCAUGGUUCAAAAGUGAAAGACGGUCUUGCUGUCACUUAUAGAUGGAUCCGCGCUGCAUUAGCUAGUUGGUAAGGUAACGGCUUACCAAGGCAACGAUGCAUAGCCGACCUGAGAGGGUGAUCGGCCACACUGGAACUGGGACGCGGUCCAGACUCCUACGGGAGGCAGCAGUAGGGAAUCGUCCGCAAUAGGCGAGAGCCUGGCGGAGCAACGGCGCGUGAGUGAUGAAGGUCUUCGGAUCGUAAAACUCUGUUAUUAGGGAAGAACAUAUGUGUAAGUAACUGUGCACAUCUUGACGGUACCGAAUCAGAAAGCCACGGCUAACUACGUG